RNAcentral lists this non-coding RNA (133 nucleotides) under unclassified sequences. RNAcentral describes it as "LAGLIDADG-2 RNA". It matches the Rfam family "LAGLIDADG-2 RNA". From Rfam's summary of the family: Halobacteria (Archaea). Nearby to self-splicing intron genes The record is from Rfam by way of RNAcentral.
AUAUAGGCCUCACUUAGAGGCCUUGCUAUGACCUGGGGAGGUUAGGCAUCCAUUUGGGUAGCGGUAGCUCCGCCCCUCUGGAGAGACGGCAACCAGAGACCGGGUUGUCAGAUCCCGGUCGGGGGACCGUCUU